Molecule: long non-coding RNA, 563 nt
Filed under: Solanum tuberosum (potato)
Lineage: Eukaryota; Viridiplantae; Streptophyta; Magnoliopsida; Solanales; Solanaceae
Description: long non-coding RNA (STUB_LNC006920)
Source: RNAcentral
UCUAUUGUUAUGGAUAUAAUCAACCAAAAUCACAAACAGGAAAACACAGGUAAAUUGGCUUUAAUUGGUCAUGGGGUAUCAUGUAUGUAUUUCCAAUUUCAACGAUUCAUUCAUUUCCAGGAAAUUUAAGUUUUUAGAGGCUCAGAUCUGCAAAGAGAUCGAGGAAAAGAGAGAGGCGACCACGCCAUGGCUGCGAAAUCACCGUGAUUUGCCAAGCCAAGAUACGGAUCAUAUAAUCUCUAUGCCCGAUCCGGUUAGCCCAGAUUCAUCAGCAUUAUCAUCACUGCCUCAAUGGAUCAAAACUGAGAAAAUAAACCAACAUUGAGAGAGUACAGAAACAGAAAGCCAGCCAGAAUAAUUGCUAUAUAUAUGUUGGAAUAUAGUAGUACGUACGUACGUAUGUAUGUAUGUUUUCCUGGUACAAAUGAUUCAAUAAUUUCCAGGAAAUUAACAUGAAUCCAAGGGUUGUUGCUUUUUUUGUGUGGAAAAAUCAUUGGUUAAACAAGAGAGGGGCAACCACCCUUGUAAAGAAAUUACCAAAACUCUCUGUUUAGCCUCAUUUU